GAUGAACGCUGGCGGCGUGCCUAAUACAUGCAAGUCGAACGAAACUUCUUUAUCACCGAGUGCUUGCACUCACCGAUAAAGAGUUGAGUGGCGAACGGGUGAGUAACACGUGGGCAACCUGCCCAAAAGAGGGGGAUAACACUUGGAAACAGGUGCUAAUACCGCAUAACCAUAGUUACCGCAUGGUAACUAUGUAAAAGGUGGCUAUACUACCGCUUUUGGAUGGGCCCGCGGCGCAUUAGCUAGUUGGUAGGGUAAAGGCUUACCAAGGCAAUGAUGCGUAGCCGAAUUGAGAGGUUGAUCGGCGACAUUGGGACUGAGACACGGCCCAAACUCCUACGGGAGGCAGCAGUAGGGAAUCUUCCACAAUGGGCGAAAGCCUGAUGGAGCAACGCCGCGUGGGUGAAGAAGGUCUUCGGAUCGUAAAACCCUGUUGUUAGAGAAGAAAGUGCGUGAGAGUAACUGUUCACGUUUCGACGGUAUCUAACCAGAAAGCCACGGCUAACUACGUG
This 512-nucleotide ribosomal RNA is filed under the name uncultured bacterium. RNAcentral's name for it is "partial 16S ribosomal RNA". It matches the Rfam family "Bacterial small subunit ribosomal RNA", at positions 28 to 507 of the family's 1533-position model. The record is from RNAcentral.